RNAcentral lists this ribosomal RNA (253 nucleotides) under uncultured bacterium. RNAcentral's name for it is "partial 16S ribosomal RNA". It matches the Rfam family "Bacterial small subunit ribosomal RNA", at positions 524 to 776 of the family's 1533-position model. The record is from RNAcentral.
UACAGAGGGUGCGAGCGUUAAUCGGAAUUACUGGGCGUAAAGGGUGCGUAGGCGGCGCGGUAAGUCGGGUGUGAAAUCUCGGAGCUUAACUCCGAAACUGCAUUCGAUACUGCCGUGCUUGAGGACUGGAGAGGAGACUGGAAUUUACGGUGUAGCGGUGAAAUGCGUAGAUAUCGUAAGGAAGACCAGUGGCGAAGGCGGGUCUCUGGACAGUUCCUGACGCUGAGGCACGAAGGUCAGGGGAGCAAACGGG